This 1348-nucleotide unclassified non-coding RNA is filed under the name Leishmania donovani. RNAcentral's name for it is "gene:LdHU3.16.0080(CDS-product:hypothetical_prote in_conserved)". The record is from RNAcentral. Lineage: Eukaryota; Euglenozoa; Kinetoplastea; Trypanosomatida; Trypanosomatidae.
GUGGCAGGCUCAUGGACGCACCAGCUAUGGCCCAGGAAACUGCAUCCUCGUCGCCCACCGAGGUACGCCACACGACGUCUCUAAAUCAUACAGAGUGGAGCGCUCUCUUGCGCCUACUGGCAGAGGUGCAAGGGCGAAUGGAGCAACGCCUGGAGGCUGUCAAUGUCGAACUAGAGUACCUGGAGGCCUUUCGCGGCGGCAUUGUAUCGGAGAUGCGCAGUGAAUCGUCCCCUCGUCGCCGCUCUGUCACUCUUCCCGCCCCCAGAGAUGGCGGAAAGAGGAGCCGCGAAGAGGUCCCGUUUGUCGGCUACGCGAUAGCGUCUCCGAGGCAGCGGGGCGAGGUGGGAGCACUGGGCUUUGACCCGUUUCGCGAAGCGGGCCUCUACAUGAGCUCUAACAAUCCCGUAGUGCGUGUUGCACCGUUGUCUCUCAGCAGAGACGAAAAAGCGCGUCAGGAGGUGGCGUAUAUAUUGCCAAGCUACAUCUCCGUUGGGGUGGCGAGGGCAAGGGGCUUGCCUUUAGCCGGAGCCGCGCGACUUUUCGAGUCGCUCACCGCGGCCGGGCUGGACAAGCGCGACUUUGCUCUCUCGAGCACCUCAGCGGGACGCUGUCUCAGCGUCCACACACCUCCCGACCCAGGCGAUGUCGAGGCGCUUUGUGCCGCCGUCCCGGAGGAGCGGGUGCGCGCGCUAUGCCGCGACAGCAUGGGGGAUGCCGGCGCCAUUGCAAGCUGCCUUUACACGGAGUUGGCACAGCAGGCAACACUGCGGGCGCUCAUCCUGCCCGCAAUGCGUCUGCGCAGCGUGAAGCUGCUGCGGCUGCCGCCCUACCGGCAGCAGCUCCUACUGGAGGCGACCACCUGGACGCUGCAGAGGUGCUGCGACUGCCGCGAUCGUGACCUGACCGAGAACUCGCAUGUGCAAUGGUGCAAGGUUCUACACAGUGCGGCGCCUGAAACAGAGUCGUGUGCGUAUCUGAAGCGGAAGGCAUACGCCACCGGCUACUCUCAGCUGCUGCAAGGACUCAGCGCAGUCUCCAGCGUCCGACAGGGGUAUCUUGUCGCUGUACUCACCGUCUGCGGCAAUUUCUUCGACCUCCUGGACGCGGGAAAGCUGCCACUCCAACGGCGAACCAGCCCAUUUCUCUUCCGCGGCGCGCAUGCAGCACCAAACGGGGACCAAACCUCGCUGAGUCCGGCGGUGUGCAGCUGAACAAAGGAGGGACGAUGCGGCACAGACGUUGUGUGCCCGAUCAUGCGGUGCACCGCCAACUGCCACGGUCGACGGCAACGCCGAGAGCCAAAAACAAAAACGAGAAGAGAGCCCCCCCCCUCCACACACAUGCACAC